UUGUUUUCUCUAAGAUCUGAUAGGCCUAUGCAUCUGAUUGCAAUAUCAUACUCUGAUCAAAGUUUGCGCUUCACAAUACACCGAAACUACUUGAUUUAGCAGUGCGGCUUAGUUAGACAGAUGUUCAGAUGUGAUGAGAUUAACUCAUCUGAAUGGAUUAGGUGUGUAAAUGAAAUACACUUGAGUUUGUAAUCAUUCCCAUCAUGCAAAAGCUAAAGAGGCCGAGUAACUGUUGGAUUGGGCUUUUUUCUCCCCGUGUUGCCUCACUCCGACCAUCUGCUGCGUGCGAGCACUAUAUCGAUCAGAAUCAGUGCGCCUCGGACCCCAUGAUGACCGUGCCGUUACUGGCCGCCAGUUUCUGCAUCUGUUCCCAGCUCUCGGCCCCGUGACCUUUAACCCUCGACACUUUCACCUCAGUGUGUCCAUGAAAGACACGCGGACAACAGCAGAUUCUUCAGUCCUCUUAUAUGUGUCAGACUAAAUUAAGAGAAUAUAUAACAGAAAAAUGUGUGUACUAAUAAACGAGUGAACGCAAAAGUUA
Pimephales promelas (fathead minnow) is the source of this 541-nucleotide long non-coding RNA. RefSeq lists it as uncharacterized. The record is from RefSeq and is a predicted model, not a curated record. Lineage: Eukaryota; Metazoa; Chordata; Actinopteri; Cypriniformes; Leuciscidae.